RNAcentral lists this ribosomal RNA (473 nucleotides) under uncultured organism. RNAcentral describes it as "partial 16S ribosomal RNA". It matches the Rfam family "Bacterial small subunit ribosomal RNA", at positions 333 to 797 of the family's 1533-position model. The record is from RNAcentral.
ACACUCCUGCGGGAGGCAGCAGUGGGGAAUUUUGGACAAUGGGCGAAAGCCUGAUCCAGCAAUGCCGCGUGAGUGAAGAAGGCCUUCGGGUUGUAAAGCUCUUUUGUCAGGGAAGAAACGGUGAGAGCUAAUAUCUCUUGCUAAUGACGGUACCUGAAGAAUAAGCACCGGCUAACUACGUGCCAGCAGCCGCGGUAAUACGUAGGGUGCAAGCGUUAAUCGGAAUUACUGGGCGUAAAGCGUGCGCAGGCGGUUUUGUAAGUCUGAUGUGAAAUCCCCGGGCUCAACCUGGGAAUUGCAUUGGAGACUGCAAGGCUAGAAUCUGGCAGAGGGGGGUAGAAUUCCACGUGUAGCAGUGAAAUGCGUAGAUAUGUGGAGGAACACCGAUGGCGAAGGCAGCCCCCUGGGUCAAGAUUGACGCUCAUGCACGAAAGCGUGGGGAGCAAACAGGAUUAGAUACCCUUGUAGUCCCA